AUUGAACGCUGGCGGCAUGCUUUACACAUGCAAGUCGAACGGUAACAGGCCUUCGGGUGCUGACGAGUGGCGAACGGGUGAGUAAUGCAUCGGAACGUACCCAGAGGUGGGGGAUAACGCAGCGAAAGCUGUGCUAAUACCGCAUGUGAUCUGAGGAUGAAAGCGGGGGACCGAGCAGCAAUGUUUGGCCUCGCGCCUUUGGAGCGGCCGAUGUCGGAUUAGCUAGUUGGUGGGGUAAAGGCCUACCAAGGCGACGAUCCGUAGCUGGUCUGAGAGGACGACCAGCCACACUGGGACUGAGACACGGCCCAGACUCCUACGGGAGGCAGCAGUGGGGAAUUUUGGACAAUGGGCGCAAGCCUGAUCCAGCAAUGCCGCGUGCGGGAAGAAGGCCUUCGGGUUGUAAACCGCUUUUGGCAGGAACGAAACGGUGUCCGCUAAUACCGGGCGCUAAUGACGGUACCUGCAGAAUAAGCACCGGCUACUACGUG
This 491-nucleotide ribosomal RNA is filed under the name uncultured bacterium. Its description in RNAcentral is "partial 16S ribosomal RNA". It matches the Rfam family "Bacterial small subunit ribosomal RNA", at positions 29 to 507 of the family's 1533-position model. The record is from RNAcentral.